CAAUGGAACCAGCAACAGACUGUGUGUCUAACCAGGUGAUCAGCAGUACCACAGGGCCCUGUACUCUCACCAUUUCUUUUCACUCUACACUUCAGAUGUCCAGCACAAGUCUCACUUCUGUCAUCUGCAGAAAUAUUCAGAUGACUCUGCAGUUGUUGGUUGAAUCCGA
Molecule: long non-coding RNA, 169 nt
Organism: Xiphophorus hellerii (green swordtail)
Lineage: Eukaryota; Metazoa; Chordata; Actinopteri; Cyprinodontiformes; Poeciliidae
Exons: 3
Source: RefSeq, a predicted model, not a curated record